GGGGGCAGGCGGGAUCCUGGGCUGUGUCCCAGCGCCCUGUGCUCCGGGACCUGCGCUGGUGGAUUUGCGCUCCCGCCCCGCAGCCCCCU
RNAcentral lists this microRNA precursor (89 nucleotides) under Canis lupus familiaris (dog). RNAcentral describes it as "mir-8799 microRNA precursor family". It matches the Rfam family "mir-8799 microRNA precursor family". The record is from Rfam by way of RNAcentral. Lineage: Eukaryota; Metazoa; Chordata; Mammalia; Carnivora; Canidae.